Molecule: ribosomal RNA, 484 nt
Filed under: uncultured bacterium
Lineage: Bacteria
Description: bacterial SSU rRNA
Rfam family: Bacterial small subunit ribosomal RNA
Source: RNAcentral
AUUGAACGCUGGCGGAAUGCUUUACACAUGCAAGUCGAACGGCAGCACGGACUUCGGUCUGGUGGCGAGUGGCGAACGGGUGAGUAAUAUAUCGGAACGUGCCCAGUCGUGGGGGAUAACGUAGUGAAAAUUACGCUAAUACCGCAUACGAUCUAUGGAUGAAAGCGGGGGAUCGCAAGACCUCGCGCGAUUGGAGCGGCCGAUAUCAGAUUAGGUAGUUGGUGAGGUAAAGGCUCACCAAGCCAACGAUCUGUAGCUGGUCUGAGAGGACGACCAGCCACACUGGAACUGAGACACGGUCCAGACUCCUACGGGAGGCAGCAGUGGGGAAUUUUGGACAAUGGACGCAAGUCUGAUCCAGCCAUUCCGCGUGCAGGACGAAGGCCUUCGGGUUGUAAACUGCUUUUGUACAGAACGAAAAGGUUUCUAUUAAUACUAGGGGCUCAUGACGGUACUGUAAGAAUAAGCACCGGCUAACUACGUG